AUUGAACGCUGGCGGCAUGCUUUACACAUGCAAGUCGGACGAGUGGCGAACGGGUGAGUAACGCAUCGGAACGUACCGAGUAAUGGGGGAUAACUGUCCGAAAGGACAGCUAAUACCGCAUACUAUUCGAUCGGCCGAUGUCGGAUUAGCUGGUUGGUGGGGUAAAGGCUCACCAAGGCGACGAUCAGUAGCGGGUCUGAGAGGAUGAUCAGCCACACUGGAACUGAGACACGGCCCAGACUCCUACGGGAGGCAGCAGUGGGGAAUUUUGGACAAUGGGCGCAAGCCUGAUGCAGCCAUGCCGCGUGUAUGAAGAAGGCCUUCGGGUUGUAAAGGACUUUCGGCAGGGAAGCGGUACCUGAAGAAGAAGCACCGGCUAACUACGUGCCAGCAGCCGCGGUAAUAC
RNAcentral lists this ribosomal RNA (406 nucleotides) under uncultured bacterium. RNAcentral's name for it is "partial 16S ribosomal RNA". It matches the Rfam family "Bacterial small subunit ribosomal RNA", at positions 30 to 526 of the family's 1533-position model. The record is from RNAcentral.